Molecule: ribosomal RNA, 270 nt
Filed under: uncultured bacterium
Lineage: Bacteria
Description: partial small subunit ribosomal RNA
Rfam family: Bacterial small subunit ribosomal RNA
Source: RNAcentral
AGAGGCGAACGCUGGCGGCGUGCUUAACACAUUCAAGUCGAACGCGCAGCAUUCUGUAGCAAUACAGGGUGUGGGCGCGUGGCGAACGGGUGCGUAACACGUGGAUAACCUUCCUUGAGGUGGGGAAUAACCCAGUGAAAAUUGGGCUAAUACCGCAUAACAUCGCGAUGGCACAUGCUGAUGCGAUCAAAGGCGCAAGUCGCCACAAGAGGGAUCCGCGGCCGAUUAGCUAGUUGGCGGGGUAAUGGCCCACCAAGGCGAUGAUCGGUA